This 72-nucleotide transfer RNA is filed under the name Nanobdellota archaeon. RNAcentral's name for it is "tRNA-Arg". It matches the Rfam family "tRNA". From Rfam's summary of the family: Transfer RNA (tRNA) molecules are approximately 80 nucleotides in length. The record is from RNAcentral. Lineage: Archaea; Nanobdellati; Nanobdellota.
GUCCCUGUAGUUAAGUGGAUAUAACGGCUCGUUGCGGUCGAGCAGUCCGGAGUUCAAUUCUUCGCGGGGACG